RNAcentral lists this transfer-messenger RNA (366 nucleotides) under Treponema sp. It matches the Rfam family "transfer-messenger RNA". Rfam says of the family: Bacterial tmRNA, also known as 10Sa RNA or SsrA, is named for its dual tRNA and mRNA-like properties. Lineage: Bacteria; Pseudomonadati; Spirochaetota; Spirochaetia; Treponematales; Treponemataceae. The record is from RNAcentral.
GGGGGUGCACCGGUUUCGACUGGUACGGCUCGGGGUGCGGGUUGCAGGUGGAGGCGGACUAGUUCCGGGCCAACUCCUAAAAUAGGCCAAAAAAUUUGAUUGCCAAUAAUGACAAUUACAACGACUACGCUUUAGCUGCGUAAUCGCGUGGCACCGCUCCGCCGCCUUGAGGGACGGUUUGCCGCGAUGCAAUCAGGGCUGGUCAAAUAAGGUUUCCGGGCCUUAUGCGAUAAGAUAUUCCCGGAAUACGGGCACUCCGCCUGCCGCGAAGCAAAGAGUGUCCCGACAAUUUAAUGCGUGGCUAAACCUGUAGAUAUUCGUAUUUCGCGUAUUAGGACGCGGGUUCGACUCCCGCCAUCUCCAUGG